Oryza sativa Japonica Group (Japanese rice) is the source of this 208-nucleotide microRNA precursor. It matches the Rfam family "MIR812 microRNA precursor family". NCBI's taxonomy places the organism in Eukaryota, Viridiplantae, Streptophyta, Magnoliopsida, Poales, Poaceae. The record is from Rfam.
UUUAAGUGCAGCAGUGGAUUUCUGUAUCCAACAUUUGACCGUCCGUCUUAUUUAAAAAUUUUUAUGAUUAAUAUAUUUGUUGUUGUUACUAGAUGAUAAAACAUGAAUAGUAUUUUAUACGUGACUUUUUAUUUAAUUUAUUUAUAAAAAUUUUUAAAUAAGAUGGACGAUCAAACGUUGGACACAGAAAUCCAGAACUGCACUUAAA